RNAcentral lists this ribosomal RNA (497 nucleotides) under uncultured bacterium. RNAcentral's name for it is "partial 16S ribosomal RNA". It matches the Rfam family "Bacterial small subunit ribosomal RNA", at positions 28 to 507 of the family's 1533-position model. The record is from RNAcentral.
GAUGAACGCUGGCGGCGUGCCUAAUACAUGCAAGUCGAGCGAACAGACGAGGAGCUUGCUCCUCUCACGUUAGCGGCGGACGGGUGAGUAACACGUGGAUAACCUACCUAUAAGACUGGGAUAACCUCGGGAAACCGGAGCUAAUACCGGAUAAUAUCUUGAACCGCAUGGUUCAAUAGUGAAAGACGGUUUUGCUGUCACUAAUAGAUGGAUCCGCGCCGCAUUAGCUAGUUGGUAAGGUAACGGCUUACCAAGGCAACGAUGCGUAGCCGACCUGAGAGGGUGGUCGGCGACACUGGAACUGAAACGCGGACCAGACGCCUACGGGAGGCAGCAGUAGGGAAUCGUCCGCAAUGGGCGAAAACAUGACGGAGCAACGCCGCGUGAGUGAUGAAGGUCUUCGGAUCGUAAAACUCUGUUAUUAGGGAAGGACAAAUGUGUAAGUAACUAUGCACGUCUUGACGGUACCUAAUCAGAAAGCCACGGCUAACUACGUG